AACAAGGUCUCCGUUGGUGAACCAGCGGAGGGAUCAUUGUUGGAACGCGCUCCGGCGCACCUCCAGACAACCCUUUGUGAACUUAUACCUAUACUGUUGCCUCGGCGUCAGGCUGGCUCCCCUCGGGGGGUCCCUCACCAUCUCGGUGAGGAGCAGGCCCGCCGGCGGCCAAGUUAACUCUUGUUUUUACACUGAAACUCUGAGAAUAAAACAAAAAUGAAUCAAAACUUUCAACAACGGAUCUCUUGGUUCUGGCAUCGAUGAAGAACGCAGCGAAAUGCGAUAAGUAAUGUGAAUUGCAGAAUUCAGUGAAUCAUCGAAUCUUUGAACGCACAUUGCGCCCUCUGGUAUUCCGGAGGGCAUGCCUGUUCGAGCGUCAUUUCAACCCUCAAGCCUGGCUUGGUGAUGGGACACUGCCUUUGAGAAAAGGCAGGUCCUGAAAUUCAGUGGCGAGCUCGCCAGGACCCCGAGCGCAGUAGUUAAACCCUCGCUUUGGAAGGUCUUGGUGCGGCCCUGCCGUUAAACCCCCAACUUC
RNAcentral lists this ribosomal RNA (535 nucleotides) under Diaporthe sp. M39-CK-2016. RNAcentral describes it as "eukaryotic LSU rRNA". The stretch from base 226 to 379 matches the Rfam family "5.8S ribosomal RNA". The record is from RNAcentral. Lineage: Eukaryota; Fungi; Ascomycota; Sordariomycetes; Diaporthales; Diaporthaceae.